GACCUGUAUCUCGUACUUUCGAAUUCCCGCGAUUUUAUUCGUGCGGUUUUCGUUAUUUUAUUGUACGAGAUAUAUAUGCUGGUGGAUGUUUAGAAAUUGUAUGCAUUAUAGGCACGAACAUUCGUUUGCUGCUCUAUAUCGUACGAUUUCGAUAUUCGAUACGAUGGGUUUGAUUUUAAUUCACUUUGGUGAAUUAGUCAGAGUCAAUCGUAUUCUGGCAGCGUGGGAAAUGUUGCGGUCAGAGAUGCAAUUUCGUAAAAGAAAUUGUGUUGUCGCGCUCGUUUUUCGCCUGUCGGACCAGCGAAAUUACUUUGAACAAAUUAGAGUGCUUAAAGCAGGCAAAUUUUAUGCCUUGAAUAUAAACAGCAUGGAAUAAUAGAAUAUGAUCUCGAUACUGUUUGUUUAAUGUUUUUCUUUUUUUUUUAAUUAGGAAAAAAAAAACAUUUUUUGUUCGAUGAUAUACGCGCGUUAGCGUGUGUAUUGUCGGCGAAAUGAAAUUGGCUUAAAGUGAACAAUUUUAGGAAGUCUUAAAUGUGAUUUUCUUGUUGUUC
This 551-nucleotide ribosomal RNA is filed under the name Caenocholax sp. 8 DPM-2010. RNAcentral describes it as "partial 18S small subunit ribosomal RNA". Lineage: Eukaryota; Metazoa; Arthropoda; Insecta; Strepsiptera; Myrmecolacidae. The record is from RNAcentral.